CUUGUGUUAAUUACCAACCAGACAGCAAGUUGCAGAAGAUGGACUUCACCAAUGAUGAAUUUAUAGACAUUGAUGACAAGUUGACAGCUGAAGAACAUGUAACAUUUCUAGAACAAAAGACCGCCCAUG
This is a long non-coding RNA of Nanorana parkeri, 129 nucleotides long. RefSeq lists it as uncharacterized. The transcript has 3 exons. The record is from RefSeq and is a predicted model, not a curated record. NCBI's taxonomy places the organism in Eukaryota, Metazoa, Chordata, Amphibia, Anura, Dicroglossidae.